This 361-nucleotide ribosomal RNA is filed under the name Stenopelmatus piceiventris. Its description in RNAcentral is "partial small subunit ribosomal RNA". The record is from RNAcentral. Lineage: Eukaryota; Metazoa; Arthropoda; Insecta; Orthoptera; Stenopelmatidae.
CUAUUAUUUGAAGUGUAAAAUUUAAUAACUUGAGUAGUAUUAGUUAAGUUCUUGAAACUCAAAGAAUUUGGCGGUGUUUUAGUCUAUUCAGAGGAAUCUGUCCUGUAAUCGAUAGUUCACGGGUAACUGUACUUAAUUUUGUAGAUUCAACUUGUAUAUCGCCGUCAUCAGAUUAUUUUAGAAGAAUUAUUAAUUUUCUUAAAAUUGAUUAAAUUAAAUGUCAGGUCAAGGUGCAGUUUAUAAUUGAGAAGAGAUGGAUUACAAUAAAUUUAUUUAUAUGGAUAUUAAAUUGGAAUAUUUAGUUGAAGGUGGAUUUGAUAGUAAUUUUAUUUACUGGUAAUUUGAUUAUAGCUCUAAAACA